GAAUAAGCAUCGGCUAACUCCGUGCCAGCAGCCGCGGUAAUACGGAGGAUGCGAGCGUUAUCCGGAUUUAUUGGGUUUAAAGGGUGCGUAGGCGGAUUAAUAAGUCAGUGGUGAAAUCCUGCAGCUUAACUGUGGAACUGCCAUUGAUACUGUUAGUCUUGAGUAUGGUCAAGGUAGGCGGAAUGUGUAAUGUAGCGGUGAAAUGCUUAGAUAUUACACAGAACACCGAUUGCGAAGGCAGCUUACUGGGCCAUUACUGACGCUGAUGCACGAAAGCGUGGGGAUCGAACAGGAUUAGAUACCCUGGUAGUCCACGCCGUAAACGAUGAUCACUCGCUGUUAGCGAUACACAGUUAGCGGCUAAGCAAAAGCAUUAAGUGAUCCACCUGGGGAGUACGGCCGCAAGGCUGAAACUCAAAGGAAUUGACGGGGGCCCGCACAAGCGGAGGAACAUGUGGUUUAAUUCGAUGAUACGCGAGGAACCUUACCUGGGCUUAAAUGUAGAGUGCAUUUCCGAGAAAUCGGGAUUUCCUUCGGGACUUUCUGCAAGGUGCUGCAUGGUUGUCGUCAGCUCGUGCCGUGAGGUGUCGGGUUAAGUCCCAUAACGAGCGCAACCCUUAUCGUUAGUUGCCAGCGGGUAAUGCCGGGAACUCUAACGAAACUGCCGGUGUAAACCGAGAGGAAGGUGGGGAUGACGUCAAAUCAGCACGGCCCUUAUGUCCAGGGCUACACACGUGUUACAAUGGCCGGUACAGAGGGCAGCUACCUGGAGACAGGAUGCGAAUCUCAAAAGCCGGUCUCAGUUCGGAUCGGAGUCUGCAACUCGACUCCGUGAAGCUGGAUUCGCUAGUAAUCGCGCAUCAGCCAUGGCGCGGUGAAUACGUUCCCGGGCCUUGUACACACCGCCCGU
Molecule: ribosomal RNA, 910 nt
Filed under: uncultured bacterium
Lineage: Bacteria
Description: bacterial SSU rRNA
Rfam family: Bacterial small subunit ribosomal RNA
Source: RNAcentral